GAUGAAGAACGCAGCGAAAUGCGAUAAGUAGUGUGAAUUGCAGAAUUCAGUGAAUCAUCGAAUCUUUGAACGCACAUUGCGCCCCUUGGUACUCCAUGGGGCAUGCCUGUUCGAGCGUCAUUUACACCCUCAAGCACUGCUUGGUGUUGGGCGUCUGUCUUGCUAUUAUGUGCAGACUCGCCUUAAAAUUAUUGGCGGCUCCCCGGCUAGCUCCCAGCGCAGCAGAAUCAGCGCUGUGGCGGGCUCGGCCGGGCAGCGUCCAGCAAGGCCCUUUUGGCUUGACCUCGGAUCAGGUAGGGAUACCCGCUGAACUUAAGCAUAUCAAUAAGCGGAGGA
This 336-nucleotide unclassified non-coding RNA is filed under the name soil metagenome. RNAcentral's name for it is "partial contains 5.8S ribosomal RNA, internal transcribed spacer 2, and large subunit ribosomal RNA". The stretch from base 1 to 120 matches the Rfam family "5.8S ribosomal RNA", at positions 35 to 154 of the family's 154-position model. The record is from RNAcentral.